GAUGAAGAACGCAGUGAAAUGCGAUAAGUAGUGUGAAUUGCAGAAUUCAGUGAAUCAUCGAAUCUUUGAACGCACAUUGCGCCCUUUGGUAUUCCUUAGGGCAUGCCUGUUCGAGCGUCAUUUAAACCUUCAAGCUCAGCUUGGUGUUGGGUGACUGUCCGCCGCCUCCGGGCGGUCGGACUCGCCUCAAAUUGAUUGGCGGCCGGUACUUUGGCUUCGAGCGCAGCAGAAACGCGAACUCGAGGCCGUCGUCCUGGCUCCCAGAAGCUAUCUUCACAAUUUUGACCUCGGAUCAGGUAGGGAUACCCGCUGAACUUAAGCAUAUCAAUAAGCGGAGGA
RNAcentral lists this unclassified non-coding RNA (339 nucleotides) under soil metagenome. RNAcentral describes it as "partial contains 5.8S ribosomal RNA, internal transcribed spacer 2, and large subunit ribosomal RNA". The stretch from base 1 to 120 matches the Rfam family "5.8S ribosomal RNA", at positions 35 to 154 of the family's 154-position model. The record is from RNAcentral.